CUGUCACUCUUUAAGCAAAAUAAACAGAUUUUUGAGCAUCAUCUCUUUUUUGGAUCAUCAUUUUGCAAGUGGAGAUUGUGCUUUUUUUUCUGAAGCUUUGGUAGUGUAACUGUAAGAGUCCUGGAAUUGGAAAAGCAAAUCCAGAAGUUGAGUUCCAUGACUUUUUUGCUGUUUGCCUUUGGACUUGCAUCAUUUAUAUUUUUAAUUCAUCGAGGAUGAGAAAAUUGAUUAACACAAAAUCUUUUCAUGUCUUUUCUGAUGAGAGACUAGCUGAAUCCAAGAAGAGAAGCCCUUGAAGAGUGUAUUCUAUUCUAGACAAGCAUUCACACAUUGGCUUCUUUGGUGCCAGCAUGUUUCUGAUCAGCAUGAAAACUGCGCAGGAGCUUUUCUGUCUUGCAGAGCUAGUUAAUGAGAUUGUUGCUGCCUUCAGAUUCUAUAAAGGACUUCUCCAAUAUUGGAUUAAAGAAUGAAGAAAGGAUCAAAUUGAGACAUCCAGGGGGGAAGAGUUCCCUGGCAAAACUCCAAUCUGCCUGAGCACUGAGGUGGAGCCACAGAAGUCCGGGUCAUUUGCACCUGGGAGGAGCCUGGCCCCUCCUCUUCCUGUGUGGAAUCUGGGAUUUAAUCUGUGAGGAGGGAAGGCCAAGGGCAGGAAGCACAGGCUCUCACUUCACUAAGAGUCUCUGUUUCCCCUUUUUUUCCUUUAUGCCUAAUUAAUAAAUCCCAUUUUUCUCACUCUUCAAA
This 741-nucleotide long non-coding RNA is filed under the name Homo sapiens (human). Its description in RNAcentral is "long intergenic non-protein coding RNA 2328". The record is from RNAcentral. Lineage: Eukaryota; Metazoa; Chordata; Mammalia; Primates; Hominidae.